Anas platyrhynchos (mallard) is the source of this 9964-nucleotide non-coding RNA. Lineage: Eukaryota; Metazoa; Chordata; Aves; Anseriformes; Anatidae. The record is from RefSeq and is a predicted model, not a curated record.
UCAGGCUUGGGAUUUUCAAGGGGGGAAGAAUACCUGAAGUAUCUCAUCUGGCUCCCAUGAAGUUUCUGCCACUGGGCUGAGCAAAGGGGAAGGAGCUCAGCAAUGGGAUGCCCAUUUGCAGGUCAGAGACAGGCCCCUCCCUGUGACAUUGGUGUUCAACACCCACUAAAACUCCAACCUCAGCACUGGUCACCAUCGGCAGUAUUUGUCACAGCUCAUUACCCAGCAGGAAUGUGGAAGCCUGGUGACCUUUCCCAGGGGGACAGGCAGAAAAGCAGCUACACAAAAGAGGGAAGAAAAUGUUGUACACUUUAGAAGAGAAAUAAUUGAAUGUUAUUGUGAUGGAAAACACCGAGCUGACAACAGGCACGGACAAAGAUUUUCUUUUAGAGCAUUGGUUGUGGGACAUGUGGGGUUUGGACAUCUGCCGGGGUUCAGCUCCCCUUCCUGCCUUCUCCCCUCAACCCCACUUCUAGGGAAUUUCAGGUAGGUUUGGGAAUGGCCCUCAGGUCCUAGUGGCAUUAGGGUGUGCGGGAGCCAGGCACCUUACUGAUGCACUGGAGCAAGGAUCAGAGAUAGGAGAGCUGGAGCUGCCUUGUGUGGUCUCCUGACAAGCAAAAGAUGCAAGAGCCCUAAAUAUGUGAUUUCUUUGCCUUGAAUCCUUGAAUAGGUAUAUUUUUAGCCUUUCUCCCCAAAGCUUCCCAGCUUCCAUAGUGAAGGAACAGAGCCCCUAGGACUCCUCCCAGACUGCCUCCAGAGCUUCUUCAAAUAGGUCCAGGUUUCCAACUACCUUUUCCCCCCUUCAUUUCACUCUAGUUUUUAUUUAAUCUGACUUCUCCAGUCUCCUGAGACAAACUGAUUAAUUCUUUUCCCCUUCAUAGUCCCCUGAGUCCCUUGUUCAAUCUUUCCUGCCUCAGUGAGAUCUUAAUAAAUGCUGUCUGUGGCUGGAAGUGGGAUUGGGUCUCAGAACUGUAAUUAAUUUUUUACUUCCUCCAUUGCUUCAGUAUGCUAUUUACAGCUGUCAGCCCAUGCAGAAGUGGAGGUGAGCAGACUCCCUCCAACUUUUGCUGCUGAUUAAUGUGUUGUAUCUACCUUCUUUCUCCUUCCUCUCUUACAUUUCUUGGUUUGCUUUGUAGCCAGUUUACUCUUGAUAUGUGAAAACACUGAUGGACUUCCAGUGAAAACAUACUCCCAGCAACAAUAAUUGCCACUGUUCCCUCUUUGCUCAUGUUCUGUUAUUUGAAAGCCUCUUGGUCCAGACAGGUUGCUCAUGACAGGACAUCCAGACCCACUGCAGCAGCAUGACCGUGGUCUGGCUAUAAUCUCCCCAAUUAUUUCCUGUAGUCUGCUCACCAAUGCACUGACUGUCAGUCCAGGGAGUGCUUUGGAGGCAUUGCACAAAGGGAGAAGGAACUGGGAGAGUGAUGGGAGAGAGACAGUGGAAGUGACUAGGAGGAUGGGCAGCCACGAGUCAGGAAAGAUCUAUUAAAAGGGCUUGCAGUGGUUGGUAGAGGGGAGCGCAGCAAAUGCUCAACGCCUGCAAACAUCACCAAAUUAGGUAGGGUGAUGCUGUGGAAUAUAAAUAUGAGCAGAUUGAAAUUAAUGUAGGUAUAAUUGGGCUGAGUGGGGGUAGUUGCUCCUUGCUGGCUGUGGGAACCUUCCCUGGUGGGGCAGGGAGCCCCGGCACUGACUGUGUUUAAUCCUGAGGGGAGUGCCUGGGCCUCCUGCCCAGGACCCGCUCAGGGGUUCAGCAGUGAACUGGAAAGCUGCAUUCAAUAUGCCAGCAAGGGAGUGAAUGCAAAUUUCCUCCUUCUCUCUCUCUCUUUUAGGUGAGAUUUAUGCCACCUCCACAUGCACAGCCUCCUGGCAGCAAUAAAUCACAGAGGGGGAGGGAAUGCAGCGAGGAAAUGGUUACCCUGCAGUUUCUGUGCGAGGGGUAGGGAGAUGGGAUGUGUGGGAUCAGCCAGCAGCUCCCAGGCACGUAUCCCUCACAUCACAAACCCGGUCCAACACACACUCCUGCUCCUUCCAACAGCCACACCAGAGACCACCUCCCUGAGCCAGGGAAACAGAGAAGGGAUUUGCUGCUUCAGUCACCCCCCUCCCCUUCACUCUGUGUGAGUGUUGCACGUGUGCCCAGACACCGCAGGCUGGGACAGAGCUGGCAGCCUCAUCUCGGCAGAUGGGUUUAUUAGAGAUGAGCGCUUUGCCUGCUCUGUGCCAAAGUCCUCCCCAGCGUGUGAUGAGCUGGGCAUCCCCCAGGCACGGGCUGCAUCGCAGACCUACAGCUCCUGCAUCAGCAGGCACCUCACCUGCUGGCUGGGAUGGGUUGGGGGUCCUGGUUCAGCCCAAGCUGUGGCAGAGCACGGCCCUGCCAGCAGCUGGUGCAGGUGGAAAGACGUGAACUCUGUUUUGCCCCUAGCAAUGAGCAUUAAUUCUGCUCAUCCUACAAAUCUGGUGCAACCUCCUUGACCUCUCUGUUUCCUGACAAACGUGUCUGGCUUCAGACUGGGGAAAGCAGAAUAGCCACAAAGAGCAGCAGGGGCAUGAAGCAAAAUAAGCAGAUGUGCCUAAAGAGUAUCUCUCGCUUGGGGACUGGAAAAACUCCAGAGAUGCCUCCCAGGCACUAUUAGUAUUGCCAUUGGGUGUCUUAACCUCUGCUCUGCAAAGUGGAAUUGGUGGUGAGCAAGGCCAUGGACAUAUGCAAAGCAAGGACAGGUGCUGCAGGAGAGCUCUCAGUAGCCACACACACCCUGCAGGGCACCAGCUCAGUGCUCUGCUACAUUUUGCAACUUCCUUGGCAAAAGCACACAGUUGAUCUCUGAUAAAACCUUUCUGUCUUUUCCCCAAUAGCCUCAGCCAUCUCUCAGCCUUACCUUGCAGUACCCCUGCUCCUGGGACUGACGGGGCAGCUGUCAGGACUGGAGACACAGGAGAUGCAAAGUCCCUUUCACACUGGCCACAAGCAGCAAGCACAAGAAGGCACAAAGGGAAAAAGUUCCCUCCAGUGCGUCGUGCUGAGCCCGGCACGCUCUGCUGCCCACCACAGCCGCUGCCUGGGCCAGGGAAAUAAGCCCUGCUCCCGAGGUUCUGGGUUCAACCUCCAGGAAAAGCAUUUGGCUGCUGCCUGUAAGCACGUGACUACAGUUUAAUCCACUUUCAGAGCAGAGCUCUGACAGGCCCCCAGCAGAACUAGGACAGCUAAAAAUACUCAGUGCAUGGAGAAAAUAAUAAUUUGGGUAGGACUGAACCCAAGUGAUUUAUCUCAGAUCAAAAGGUGUAAAAUGUGGUCGUAUCGGGUCAAGCAUCAGAAAAGGAACAAAGGCAUGAGCUGGUCACAGGUUUUAAGAAAAGCAGAAAGAUCUAAAAAUAAAAAAAUAAAAAUUUCAUAUUAAGAGCAGCAGAGCCUGCACUAGCAACGCAGGGAUGUGUGUGCCGAUUUCCCCACCAUACGCUGACUUUACCUUUACUGUCAGUCUAAAUUCUGCCAAUUAUUAAAUUAUCCAACUUGCAGCAGGAACACAGUUAGAUGUGAUCCAAAUGGUGUCACUACAAUUAUGGUAAUUAUCUGAAAACAAGCCAAUUACUUCCCUCCUUCAUGCCAGUUGGUACCAAGAUAGCAGCUGUUCGAGGCAAAUUUGUUAUCACAUUACAGUACAUUUGUUAAAGGUUGAGGUUAUAGAUUCUAGCCUUCUUUUAAAUAUUAAAAAUGCAAUAAAGUCAUGGAGUGUAUAACUUAUUAGGAUUUUUUUUAAAUGUCAGGGAGAGAGAAAUUUCUUUUACAUGCCAAGAGAAGUGGUGGGAAAGUGAUUUACUAAUGACUUGUGGAUGGAAAUGUGUGCUUUGCAAUCAGCAUACAACUGAGCUAUACAUUAACCUGUGUCAUCUCGUUACCUCUGCUUGUGUAAAAUGAAACAAAACCAGAAGUUUUCUAGGUUUCUUUUACACUCUUCCUUCAGUUUUAGCAUUCAGGACCGUUCAAUACAUUGGGAGGUGUCCUGCAGGGUCAGCCCCACCACUGGGUUUGUUUUCAGCAGCUUGUUCAGCUUGUCAAGUGCUUUGGCUCAUUUAAUCUUGUGACACUCGCUUAUGGAGAGUGCAUGCAAUGGAUGGCUCAGCUUCACCUGCCGGGGCCAGCAGCUUUGCCUCUGGGCAAAGCAAGCUGGGACAAUGCCGGGCAGAGCCACGGUAAACUCUGCCCGUGUGAAGAGGCUACCGAAGGGUGAAGUUAUCAGGGCAUCCUUUACUUUUAAAUCUGUUCCUAGUAAGGAUGGCCUUGCUUAUGUUACUCUGCGUCACAACACACAAAACCCUGCACUUGCAGCUAGUGUCAGAGGUUGCCAGCAAAGCACCUUCAGACCACGGAUCAGCAUGACCUCUUGUUUUGCACAGACCCUCCUUGUAGAAAACCAGAGCCUUUCAUCUCAUGUUUGCUAGCGUAUCCUCCCUUGAGCUGACCUUAUUUUUUUUUUCUUGUGGUGUUUUGAAAUCUUUGGCUUUGAUGUGCGCAAAACACUCCUUUCAAUAAAUGUCAAGAGCAGAUUAAAGAAAAUUAAACAGCAGAAAUAAAAGAUACUACUACUUUUCAGUUGGAAACAGCAUUUUCAUGACAACUGAAUGAAUCAGCUAUGAAAAAUGUGUUUCCCUCUGUGCUUAAGGUACAUACCAGUAGGAUCUGUUUAGAUCUGUGGGCUUAUGUACACCUUCAUGCAUCUGUAAUUCCCUGUAGCUUGUGUGCAGCUACACAGCCAAGGCACAGGGCAGAGCUUGGUUCCUGGGAGCAGGUUAGUAGCAUUAACCUGCUGCUUUGCUUGAAAUAAUUAGUCUUGCUCGCAGAUGACCUUCACAGCAAGCGCUAAAGGCUGACAGAUUUGGGUUACACUGGAGCAACAGAGAAGCAUGUGUCAGAGUGCUCCUCCUGGAGAAAACCCUGCUGCUCACUCCACUGCCAGCCCCCAGGAGCUGUGGCUGGGCAUUGUGGCACCUGCCUGUCUGCAGCAAGGGGGUUCCUCACCUCCCAUGGGACACGGGAGCCAGAUACAACCACUGGGCUCCACUGUGCCCUUGGACAUCCCUGGGAUCUUCAUGCUGUUCUUAACUGAUGCCAUCAGCUUUCCAGUUUUCCUGUCCCAGAAUGUCCCCUCUGCUGUGAGAGUGAUGUGUCUGGACUCUCUUGUUUCUGCAUUUUGGGUCAUUCCUGCUAACUUGGCAAUAUGUGAAAUACGGCCCCGCAUGGGAGAACAUAGAUAAGCUAUUCCUUACCAAUCACCACUUGAUUCUCCCUUAUUAUCAUUUAACUUUUAGUUACUGCCAUUGUCCUUUUGCUUCAUGUGAAGCCAAUUCCAUAUUUGUUAUCCAUUAAAACUGCCCUGUUCAUAUUUCUCUCCGUUAAGCAGCGAUGAGAUGUUCAGCCACAAGGAUUAUAUUUGAUUGAGUAUAAAAAAAAAAGAAAUCCAGGCAGUUCCCUGCCCAAUUGCAGCAUUAGCUAUGAGUGUGUAAACAGGUUUCUGCUUAUCAGUCCCACUGCUAUCUUCUGCACACAAACUGCUCAGCCCCACAAAAUCCAAUUUCCGAGAGGUUAGAGGAGGAAACUGUUUGCAGAAACACAGCAAUACAAAUCUCUAAAGCCACAGCCCUCAUUAUGCUGACGUCAAAGGGAGAAAUGCUGCUUGACUCCUUCUGGCACCCAAAGGUGACAUUUACUUUUGUGACUUUGAUUGGAAUCAGCCCAGCUUUGUCAUGGGAUCAUUUCCUCAUAAUUUUCCUCACAGUCAUCACCUUCUGUAUCCCCCCAAAAAGCCUGGAAACUCGCCUUGGACAUGCCAGUCACACGUCGGCAGGAGACACGGGAACACCGGCUGCUACCUCCUAUGGGGUACUCGGCGCUGGGCACGGAACGAGAGGACAAGCUCCUACAUUCAAGGCAUGUUUUGAGCAUUUACACAGGACCUGUUGGUGGACAGAUGCUGCAGCUCUGUCCUGAAGGAGCUGAGCCCUCUGGCAUUUGGGAGGAAGGAACGCAGCACCAGGGAUGCUCUGGCUGGACCCUCUGACCUGGCUGCCACAGGCGACAGUGGGAGGGAUUCAGGCCACUGCCAAUUGGCAGCAUCCAGCAGCAGCAGCGCUGCGAGUUGCAAAAGGCAAACAUGCCUCAGCCCCAACACAGGCACGAGCUCUUUGUUUAUUUCCAAAUUGAGCGAUCAGGCAGCAGGCAGCCCGCCUCCGCACUGACUCUCCUGCAAAGGGCUGUUGCCCAGAAGUUCACCGCAUCACUAAAAAUGCAAACUGUAAGCUGAUUAGCUAUUCAUAGAUACUCUUUCUUGAUUAGCUCACCAUUAAUAUUUCAAUGUCAGAACUGGAUGCACAGUGCCUCACAGCUCUCUUCCUUCCUGCUUAAUUAAUUUUGACCAUCACCAACAACGGUUUCCGACAGAUAGCAGAAAUUAAAGUGGGCUGUUCCGUGACUUUGCUUGCUGUAAACAGCUAUUUGCAAUUCCUUUUCAUACAUCACCCACCUGCAACAAAGAGAUCACAGCAGCAGAAAAUGAGUCUCCCUCGUAAGGGCUUCAGAGCUCCAAAAGAACAUUUGCUUCUUCAAUAAAAAUAAUCAAAAAGACAAUGUGGUAGGCGCAACUCAACAACAAGAUUUGCAUCUCACCUAGUAGUCUGCUGGCUGUUAAGCCUUAAAAAAAAAGAAUUGUUAAUUUGUCUGUAAAAAGACAGGGCCUUUGAUUUAGGGGAGCUCAUAAAAGCUGUAGUAUGCCCCAGCUGUGAGAGGAUGUGAUAAUCGCUGCAACCCCAGCAGUGGUAUGAGCAGGUCGCCUCGUAAAAUGCAGGCUGCACAGCUGCCUAACACACACCAGACUCGUCCACAGCUGAUAACACAACAAGCUGCUAAUAGCUGGAUUGAUUUUAUUGACACAUUCAAGAUAUGCCUACCUGGAACCACAGCAGCACUCAGCUUGGGUUUACAGAAAGAUAAAUUUUGCCUCUCUUUGUUGCUACUUGAGCUGUAUGUCACUGCUGCAAAACAAGUAUUUUGCUACUGGACACACUGCACAUCUCCAUCUACUGCUGUAAACAUGUCCCGACCCAUCCUCCAGCCUCUCAGAAGGAUUCCCUCUAGGGAAUGCACCAUGAUGGUGGCCCAAAGAAAGUGGUAAUGUAGGAGCAGCACAUUGCAGCCAUGCUCGGCUCCAUCCCCUCUACACAGCAGUAACUCAGGCUGUUAAAUGCCUGGCCAGUGCUUGCCAUCUGCUUCCAGUCUUCUAGGAAUACCGCUGCGUAAUUCAAUCAAAAAGGAGAAGGUCCUUGUUUCACUGAAUCGGUAAAUUUCUCCUCCUAGCAGAUCUGUUCCUUACCAGUAAGGAAAUACAACUCAGCAUAGACUCAGAUUGGAAAGCAGAGCAAAACAUUUCUGAACAGCACUCACUUGGGAGCUGUGCUACAUGCCCACACACGGAUGGAGACCUCUGCCAGACCAAACUGCAUUAUCAGACGGUGCAAAAAGGAAGCUGCAACUGGCACAUAGCCACCGCUCACGCAUCCGCUCUCAGGGCUGGCCUCCCAGCUCACCCAGAUCAUAGAGCACUUAAUCAGGAUGCUGAAGCCAAGCACUCAUCCAGAGCAAGCGAAGCAGGACUGAAGCACCUUGUGUCCCACCGAAGGGUCUGAGCCACACAGCUGGGCUGUGCUUCAGGUCAGACAGGGCUGUAGCUACCAGAAAGGCACAGUUUGUCAGACCUUCCCGACACCUUUCUCAGGGAAAUCCCAUCUCUGUAUUUGCCUUCUUUUAAAGCAGGACUGGCUGAUGUAUUAACAAAGCCAAUUCUAACUGCCUCAGCAAUUUGCAACACAAAGGACAGGGAGCAGCUGCAGCCCAGAUUUAUCACCUUGCUCACCAAAUGCAGCCAACACUUCUCUGCUGUGCUCCAAGAGUGCAAGGUCUAGUAAUGACUUCCCAGGCAGAUCUACAGAUAGUGUGAGCUUCAUCUAAUCUAAGAAAAGAGAUUUCAAGGCAUUUGGGGGCUUCAACAUAAUCUGAUAUCAGCUUUCAUGUUUUGGGGCAGCACGCUGCUGCUGGUAAAUGAGCGGACAUUCUGCUCUCAUAGCUGUAUGCUGCUCCUCUCUGUGCACUGACAGCUCCCUGUCCCCACGUUCAGAUGACUGUUAAAUUACAGCCAGGAUCUCACCAGACAUUUAUGUCUGACACCCAGGCUCGAGACUGUCUUCCGUGCUGCUACUACCAGUUUAGCACAUCAUGCUAAAAGGCCCAAAACUUCUAACAUUGACAGAAAGGGAGGGCUGGAUGUUUAGGUUGACGAUGGCUCCCUAAAGUGCAAGCAUCCUUCUACUGAGCAAACCAAACUGUAAACUGCCCAUGACAAGUCCCCAGCUCCCUAUUAUCAUCAGAGAGAAUGGGGACUUUUUUUUUCCCUCUACUUUACACUAUACAUUCAGUCGAGAUGGAUGAGUCAAUAAUGAUGAUGUGACUUCUACACAAUUGCUUCAGGAUGCAUGAAAUUCAGCUAGGAGCUCCACUCACACAGCGAGGGAGGAUAUUCAGGUGGCCUUGAGGUGGUUUGCAAGGGUCAGUGUCCAUCUUCCCAGCAACAACAGAUACAAAUGUGAGCCAAGACAGAGGAAAAAAGGGAAUAAUCAAACCCUUUAUGAAAAGAAACAUCAGCCAAAACAUCUAAUUGCAUAGCAGAGAGAUAAGGAGACGUGCUCCUUCUCAACACUGGGCAGCCAGUAGCGACAGCUGUUAGAUCAUAGAUGCUCCAAAGCUUUGCAGGAUCUGGUUUAUCACAUCCCAGUUGUGCUAUGAGCAACCUUCCACUUGCAGAGGAAGAAGGACCCUUCCAGGAACAGACAACAAGCACAGCUAAUGUCCAUGAAAUGUAAACCACAAUCAAAGCCAUCUCUUUCCAGAAACUCGUGUGAUGAGUCUGCUUGGGAAGGUGUGGCUUGGAGAGCUCCCUGAGCAUCACUGGUACCUUGAAAAUAUCAGAAUUCUGAGAGCAAAUGUCUGCAUGGAGAGGCACAGACAAGGGGAAGCAAACUCCCUUGGAAAAUGAGCAUGAAUUUUCCUAUCUGAAAUAAUGCACAGUGCUGGGCUCCUUGGGGUUGGCUUGUAUUUCCUCAGGGGAAGCAGCUUGGGAAGCCCAGGGGAGCUGAUUAUUUGUUGUUCCCAUUUAUUACAAAGCACUGUUAUUAUUUACAAAACAUACACUUUAUGUACUGUUACUGCAUUCAUGUGCAAUAACUAGUCUAAACUCAAAUCCCUAGGAGAACUGCUGAAAGAGAAGCAAUUCUACCACGUAUUAAUAACCCUAGGAUUUCCCCAGGUUUAAGGGAAUAGAAAAUAUGUCUCAUACAAGUGAACUUGCUCUUUCUUACAGUAUAAAACUGCUCUUUUCCAAUGAUAGCAAUGAAAGGAUAUUGCUUCUGUCACUGAUGCCACUGGAAAUGUAUUGCCCCUCUCCAAGAAACCAAUGAAAGGAUAUGGCUGGUUUAUUCUCUAAAUGAGGCUACUGAGAAAUAUGCUGCUCCCAGCGCUAGCCCAGGCAUGCUGCUACUUCUGUGUCCCCAGCCUGAAGGCACCAUGUGAGCAUCUUGGUGCCAAAUGGCAAAACUGUUUGUGGAGAAAACCAAACCAGAGUUUGAGAUCUAAGCAGAGGAAAGAAACUGUCGAAAUGUCGGAUAGAAGUGAGUCCCUAGCUUACCUCACCGAGGCUGGAGUAGGGCUCAGCUGCUCUAUAGCACAGCCAGGAUCUGGCCCCUUCUCCUUCAGCAGCUCUGCACCUCGUGUGAAAUGAGUUUAAACCUUGGGGGGGAAGGCGAGCCCACACUUAACCUGUGGCCAGGAGCCUGGCCAUUAGGAAGGCUGCCAGACACUCUCCCUUUUACUGCUAAGUUUAAUGGCCUGGCUCUGUGCUGAAGAUUUUAGGUUUUGAAAGCAAAA